This 165-nucleotide ribosomal RNA is filed under the name Anthriscus sylvestris. RNAcentral's name for it is "5.8S ribosomal RNA". It matches the Rfam family "5.8S ribosomal RNA". Rfam says of the family: 5.8S ribosomal RNA (5.8S rRNA) is a component of the large subunit of the eukaryotic ribosome. It is transcribed by RNA polymerase I as part of the 45S precursor that also contains 18S and 28S rRNA. Functionally, it is thought that 5.8S rRNA may be involved in ribosome translocation. The record is from RNAcentral. Lineage: Eukaryota; Viridiplantae; Streptophyta; Magnoliopsida; Apiales; Apiaceae.
AAAUGACUCUCGGCAACGGAUAUCCCGGCUCUCGCAUCGAUGAAGAACGUAGCGAAAUGCGAUACUUGGUGUGAAUUGCAGAAUCCCGUGAACCAUUGAGUCUUUGAACGCAAGUUGCGCCCGAAGCCACUAGGCUAAGGGCACGUCUGCCUGGGUCAGUCACGC